RNAcentral lists this ribosomal RNA (122 nucleotides) under Microcebus murinus (gray mouse lemur). The record is from RNAcentral. Lineage: Eukaryota; Metazoa; Chordata; Mammalia; Primates; Cheirogaleidae.
GUCUACGGCCAUACCACCCUGAACGCGCCCGAUCUUGUCUGAUCUCGGAAGCUAAGCAGGGUCGGGCCUGGUUAGUACUUGGAUGGGAAAAAACAGAAAGAUACCUGGAAAAUCCCUAAAUA